Molecule: long non-coding RNA, 2830 nt
Filed under: Aquilegia coerulea
Lineage: Eukaryota; Viridiplantae; Streptophyta; Magnoliopsida; Ranunculales; Ranunculaceae
Description: long non-coding RNA (ACOE_LNC001331)
Source: RNAcentral
ACCUAGCUUGGGAUCUCUCAUAAGGAUCUUUUGGGAGUAAUGGGUGUUCAGGCCAUGUUUCUUCAAUGUACUCGAGGAUAAUAGUUGAUUCAACUAUAGGUUUUCCUGCAUGAACAAGGACAGGGAUUUUCUUGUAGACUGGGUUAUAUUCUAAGAGCAAAGGGCUCUUGUUGGAAAGGUUUUCUUCUAUGUAAUCAUAGCUUAUACCCUUUAGUUUCAAUGCCCAUAUAACCCUGUAGCUGAAAAGACUACCCCAAGUUCCCAAGAGUUUCACUUCUGCCAUGUUGAGAUUCCAAGACAAGUUUGUGCUUUGGUAUAUAUCCUAGAGUCAUUCACUUAUAUAUACAGCAAAGUUUAAGUCAUCCUGAAGUUUCUUUCUUGGCCCUCAAGUUCAAAGAGUUUCAAUUUUCUCAUCAAAGAUGACAGAAGAGAUGAAGUCACAGAUCUAAAGUUCACUGCAAGUAGUCUUUACUCUUUAUUUCAACAUUUUUUCUUAUCUAGUCCAGCCACCUUGUUUGACCAUUAAAAUAUAUACUGUAGCAAAGUGCUGAUAAAUAUCUAUCUACUUUUUCUUCUACAUAUUCUAUCUAUAUAUCUAAUCUCUGCCUCUCUGGAGCCUGCCCCAAUAUGCUUGCCAUUCUCAGAGGAGUAGGAAAAAAUUAAUUACAGUAAAUAAAAAAAACAACAAUGAAUUCUGUAGGAUUUCUAUAUGUACUUCUUUGUACAUAUAUCAGAUUUCAGUUUCAAUUUACAAUCAACAUUUUACAUUUUACAAUUUACAAAGCAGGGUUCACUAGAAAGGAAUGAUUUAACUAAGAUGCACAAAGAGCCAUAGACAGUUUACUUCCACAGCACCAAUACAUGAUUACAUGACCAAAGAGCAAUUUUUCUGUGAAUACCAAUCUCUAUAAACAUAGAGUUGCAUAUGAUGCACUAUGGCAGGUUAAUGUUGAAGGAUAGAGAGGAGAGAUAUGAUAUAGAAUGGAUGCAUUUCGUCUAUGGCGCAGGUUCAUUCAUAUAUCCAUCAUAAAGAAUUGGUAAUAGGCACUGUAGAUUCAGAAAAAAAAAAAAAAGGUAGCAGUGCAUACUGAAGUUAGAGACAAAUGGAAACAGGCAGUUUAACAGAGAAGGCCUCAAAGUGUGGUUAUGUUGAUAGUUCAUGUAAAUGUUGUUUAUUUUCUAUUUUGGUUGUAAGACACUAUAAGGGUCUGUCCUCUCUGGAAACUAAUUACCUGACAAUGCACUUAAAGUGCAUCCCACCAUCACCAGGCUGCUUGUAUUUAUUUUGUCCGAAAUAUUUCAACUUUGAAAAAAAAUCAUCCCAAUCCUUUGUACAAUGCACUUAUACGUAGCUAUAUAACAAAACCAUAUAAUGCAUUAAUGGUCUAAGCACAAAUAUGAAAAUUGUAAAUGGAAAACUGUUCUCUCUAAUUUUCACACAAAUGAACGCGUUUCCGAAUUUUCAGGCCCUAGCUUGGUUUUGCUGAUUAGGGGAAAACAAGUUUUUUUCAUUUUUUGAUGAAAGUAUAAGUUUUAUAAAUAAUCACAGGCCAUUACAACCUGAUCAGUAUGCUUUAAAAUAGCAUCGUCAGGUGGAGAAGUAAAGACUGAAAGUGCUUACAAAACAUUACAGACACAGGCCUAGGACCUAACUGUGAGUCCUCCAUAAGAUCCUCCCCUGCCAGAAUAGGAUCAGGCGAUCAGCCAUAUCAAGCAGAGCUUGCACCCCAAUCUGCCAGUAGCAUUUCCACGCUUCCAAAUUAUCCAAGUAAAAUAGUAAAUCCAUUUUUUAUGCCAGUUUCAUCAAGAAUGAAUACCAGUAGUGCGCAUGACUAGCACGUAUGUCUGCACUCUUAAUGGUAGAUGAAAAAGGAUAGAGGUUAGACCACGGUGGCCAGUGCAGAUGAACAAAAAAUGUGGUACAACUCUAUUCGGCAAAUUUGUUGAGCAGAGUAACUAAUCCGAAAAUUUUCUUUAUUUUCAAUUCCAUACAAAAUUCAAGAACUACAAGAUAACAGUACACGGUCGAGUAUAUAUAAUGCAGCACACACAUUACAUAAAUUCAUAAACCAGACUUAUAUAUCACAAUAUCACAUACAACUAGUCUCAUUCUCAGUGAUUAAUGACCAGAAAGCCACAUUUCUCUUUGUCUCUUGAAAUAGGCCAAUGCUUGAUCAUGUUCAGGAAGAUUCUCUUUAAUCGCAGGUACUUCCCUAAAAUUUUCGAUCCAUUGGUGCAAGCGUGGGAAGGCCUGAGGUUCAAUCAAUUUCAUACCUUUAGUUUCUUCCAUUAUUCCUAACCAAUGAGCCAUCCAUCCAUACACUAAAUCCACUAAUCCAAUUGAUUCACCACCAAAGAACUUCUUGUCCCCAAGUCCAAGUUCUUCUAUAACCUUCAAAGCUUCCAGGCUAUCUUUGAUAGCUUUCUCUUGUUCCUCCUCAGUACUAAUAAAGAAUUUGAAAAACGUAAUUGCCUACAUCAUAAAUCAUGGACAAAGGAGUUAAAAACUAGAAAGUAUAACAACAUAUAUCAAAAGUUAGACACACAUAUGUACACAACUUGUGGAAUGGACUAACCUUAUCCUCAGAAAAUUUGAUCCAAAACCUAGCUUGGGACUUCUCAUAAGGAUCUUUCGGGAGUAAUGGGUUCUCAGGCCAUGUUUCUUCGAUAUACUCGAGGAUAAUAGUUGAUUCAACUAUAGGUUUUCCUGCAUGAACAAGGACAGGGAUUUUCUUGUAGACUGGGUUAUAUUCUAAGAGCAAAGGGCUCUUGUUGGAAAGGUUUUCUUCUAUGUAAUCAUAGCUUAUACCCUUUAGUUUCAAUAACCAUA